Molecule: long non-coding RNA, 698 nt
Organism: Galeopterus variegatus (Sunda flying lemur)
Lineage: Eukaryota; Metazoa; Chordata; Mammalia; Dermoptera; Cynocephalidae
Exons: 3
Source: RefSeq, a predicted model, not a curated record
GGAGGACUAAUGUGCACACGCCGUCAUUCUGUCGUGGUGGGCGUCGCUGGCCUGCUGUUUCGUCCUGGUCAUCGCCCGUCAGCCUGAAGAGCGUUCUGCAGUGUCCUCGCGAGGUUCAACAUCUGCUCCAGACCCACCCCGCUGAUGGGCAGCAACUGCAGGACCUGGCCCAGAGCUCCCCAUGGGGCACGGCGAGGCGUGUGACUGUGGUUUACUGCUGCUGGUGGCCCUCCUCCCUGGCCCUUUCCCCAGAGAGCUCAUCACGCUGGAGAUGUGGCCCCAGGCCUGUGUCUCGAGAUUGGGUGCCCCACAAGUGCAGCUCUGUGCCUCCUUCACCUGGACUGCUCAGGGUCUGCACAUGGAGCUCUGCCCCAGCUGUUGGACUUUGAACAUCUCCACACUUGCAGAGCAGGGGAAGCCCCAUGCACAGCGGCUUGCUGGGUGACCCUCGCAGCCAGAGAGGCUAUGCAGAGAGAUCCUGAGCUGCUCUCAGACAGGGCGUGCUCUUACGUUCUGGCUCACUUCCUUACAGGUACACAGCUCCGGGAGACUACCCCUGCAAUGGGCUAGGUGGACACCUGGCACGUUUUUGUAUCCAGCAGAGAGGAAUUGUGCAGGGAAGGGGGCCAGCGAGGCCCCUGGGGAGGAGCACGUGGGCAAUGAAAUGACAACGUAUGUGACGGAUUUGAAAGCUGGAA